UUUAUACACUUACGGUCUUACUAAUAAAAAAUCACUAUACAUGCGUUAUGACAAGGUGAUAGUAAUUCAGUGAAUAGAGCUUGUACAGGGCAUAAACACCUCUUUGACCAAUAAUCGAUGUGUAUUGGUUGAAUAACAAAACGACCCUUAUUUAUUGUUACCCUGGCAACCCGCCGUGUUUGAUUGACGUUUGAUUUAAUAAUUCUGAUACAACUCAUAAUUCUAAUCUAAUAGAAACUCCAAAACCUCAGACAAAGAGGACUAGAAUUUUACAUAAAAAGCCGCGUUCUGCAGUACAAAAGUUAGAAGAGGCAUCUCAAAUAGUGGAAAGUGCCAAACUCCGUAACACGGUAGUGUUCCGGUGUUUCCAGGAAGAGCACGAAACAAAACAAAGGCAGAUGGCUGAAACACAUGAGCUCAAACAGAAGCAACUUGCCGAAGCUCACGAAAGGGCUAGACAGAAGCAUCUUCUAAGGCUCAAAUUGUUACAGCAGCAAUUAAAUAAAUAAUUAUAUACUUAUAAAAAAUAUAAAACCCCUGUUUUAAAUGAAAUAUAACUUUUUAUUUAUUUCAAGUCCUUAACUAUCCACACCUAUGUAAAUAAAACAGCCUUAAAAAUAUGUUUCAAUAAAAGCAGCUCUAGCAGCUUGUCCAGCCAGAUUGCUUGGGGGCGUCUAGGUUGGCCUAGGUUCUUCUGGAGCAUUCUCAGUGUCAUCAUACGUAACAUCCAGGUCUUCUUUGAUAUCAAUAGCAAUAUUGUGGAGGAUUGCCAGUGCUACUAUAUAUAAUUUGGCAUUUUCUAAUGACACUGAGAAGCCAUGAAGAAGACACCUAAAUCGAAAACCCUCCACCUCUAGUACUCUUUUCGACAUCAGCUCGCACUAUGUCACAGAUCUUCAUAACAUACUUCUUUGAAAAGCGGUAUUUUGUUUUGAAAUCGCCAUGCGAAAGUAAUAACGGAUUGCACCGAGUUUGGUAUGUUUAGACUUUCCUUGGAGGCGGCAAAUCUUCAAUCGUAUGUAUUAGCUGCAUAUCAAUAUUAUCU
Long non-coding RNA from Pieris napi, 1045 nucleotides. RefSeq lists it as uncharacterized. The transcript has 3 exons. The record is from RefSeq and is a predicted model, not a curated record. NCBI's taxonomy places the organism in Eukaryota, Metazoa, Arthropoda, Insecta, Lepidoptera, Pieridae.